GUGCUCACUUCGGCAGCACAUAUACUAAAAUUAGAAUGAUACAGAGAAGAUUAUUAGCAUGGGCCCCUGUGCAAGGAUGACAUGCAAAUUCAUGAAGUGUCCCAUAUUUUU
Molecule: small nuclear RNA, 111 nt
Organism: Manis pentadactyla (Chinese pangolin)
Lineage: Eukaryota; Metazoa; Chordata; Mammalia; Pholidota; Manidae
Source: RefSeq, a predicted model, not a curated record